AGUGAACGCUGGCGGUAGGCCUAACACAUGCAAGUCGAACGGCAGCACAGUAAGAGCUUGCUCUUACGGGUGGCGAGUGGCGGACGGGUGAGGAAUACAUCGGAAUCUACUUUUUCGUGGGGGAUAACGUAGGGAAACUUACGCUAAUACCGCAUACGACCUACAGGUGAAAGCAGGGGAUCUUCGGACCUUGCGCGAUUGAAUGAGCCGAUGUCGGAUUAGCUAGUUGGCGGGGUAAAGGCCCACCAAGGCGACGAUCCGUAGCUGGUCUGAGAGGAUGAACAGCCACACUGGAACUGAGACACGGUCCAGACUCCUACGGGAGGCAGCAGUGGGGAAUAUUGGACAAUGGGCGCAAGCCUGAUCCAGCCAUACCGCGUGGGUGAAGAAGGCCUUCGGGUUGUAAAGCCCUUUUGUUGGGAAAGAAAAGCAGCAGGUUAAUACCCCGCUGUUCUGACGGUACCCAAAGAAUAAGCACCGGCUAACUUCGUG
RNAcentral lists this ribosomal RNA (492 nucleotides) under uncultured bacterium. RNAcentral describes it as "partial 16S ribosomal RNA". It matches the Rfam family "Bacterial small subunit ribosomal RNA", at positions 29 to 507 of the family's 1533-position model. The record is from RNAcentral.